Molecule: ribosomal RNA, 515 nt
Filed under: uncultured archaeon
Lineage: Archaea
Description: bacterial SSU rRNA
Rfam family: Archaeal small subunit ribosomal RNA
Source: RNAcentral
AACCUUUACACUGCACGACAGUGCGAUAAGGGGACUCCGAGUGCGAGGGCAUACAGUCCUCGCUUUUCUGUACCGUAGGGUGGUACAGGAACAAGUGCUGGGCAAGACCGGUGCCAGCCGCCGCGGUAAUACCGGCAGCACGAGUGAUGGCCGAUAUUAUUGGGCCUAAAGCGUCCGUAGCUGGCCGGCCAAGUCCGUUGGGAAAUCCACCCGCUUAACGGGUGGGCGUCCGGCGGAAACUGUCCGGCUUGGAGCCGGAGGACCUGAGGGGUACGUCCGGGGUAGGAGUGAAAUCCUGUAAUCCUGGACGGACCGCCGGUGGCGAAAGCGCCUCAGGAAGACGGACUCGACAGUGAGGGACGAAAGCUAGGGUCUCGAACCGGAUUAGAUACCCGGGUAGUCCUAGCUGUAAACAAUGUCCGCUAGGUGUGGCGCAGGCUACGAGCCUGCGCUGUGCCGUAGGGAAGCCGUGAAGCGGCCCGCCUGGGAAGUACGUCUGCAAGGAUGAAACUUAG